GAGGAUAUAGCUCAGUGGUAGAGCACUUGCCUAGAAUGCAAGAGGCCCUAGGUUUGAUCCCCAGAAACCUCA
Molecule: transfer RNA, 72 nt
Filed under: Heterocephalus glaber (naked mole-rat)
Lineage: Eukaryota; Metazoa; Chordata; Mammalia; Rodentia; Bathyergidae
Rfam family: tRNA
About the family: Transfer RNA (tRNA) molecules are approximately 80 nucleotides in length. Their secondary structure includes four short double-helical elements and three loops (D, anti-codon, and T loops).
Source: Rfam by way of RNAcentral